ACGGCUCAGUAACACGUGGCCAAACUACCCUAUGGACCCAGACAACCCCGGGAAACUGAGGCUAAUCUGGGAUACGAUUCUCCCGCUGGAACUGCAGAGAAUCCGAAACGCCCCGGCGCCAUAGGAUGUGGCUGCGGCCGAUUAGGUAGACGGUGGGGUAACGGCCCACCGUGCCGAUAAUCGGUACGGGUUGUGAGAGCAAGAGCCCGGAGACGGUAUCUGAGACAAGAUACCGGGCCCUACGGGGCGCAGCAGGCGCGAAACCUUUACACUGCACGCCAGUGCGAUAAGGGGACUCCGAGUGCGAGGGCAUAUAGUCCUCGCUUUUCACCACCGUAAGGUGGUGGUGGAAUAAGUGCUGGGCAAGACCGGUGCCAGCCGCCGCGGUAAUACCGGCAGCACGAGUGAUGACCGCUAUUAUUGGGCCUAAAGCGUCCGUAGCUGGCCGCGCAAGUCUAUCGGGAAAUCUGCUCGCCUAACGAGCAGGCGUCCGGUGGAAACUGUGUGGCUUGGGACCGGAAGACCAGAGGGGUACGUCCGGGGUAGGAGUGAAAUCCCGUAAUCCUGGACGGACCACCGGUGGCGAAAGCGCCUCUGGAGGACGGAUCCGACGGUGAGGGACGAAAGCUCGGGUCACGAACCGGAUUAGAUACCCGGGUAGUCCGAGCUGUAAACGAUGUCUGCUAGAUGUGACACAGGCUACGAGCCUGUGUUGUGUCGUAGGGAAGCCGAGAAGCAGACCGCCUGGGAAGUACGUCCGCAAGGAUGAAACUUAAAGGAAUUGGCGGGGGAGCAC
This 796-nucleotide ribosomal RNA is filed under the name uncultured archaeon. RNAcentral describes it as "bacterial SSU rRNA". It matches the Rfam family "Archaeal small subunit ribosomal RNA", at positions 85 to 879 of the family's 1478-position model. The record is from RNAcentral.